GACGUAGGAUGCGAGCGUUGUCCGGAUUUAUUGGGCGUAAAGAGCGUGUAGGCGGCCAGGUAGGUCUGGUGUGAAAACUCGAGGCUUAACCUCGAGAUGUCAUCGGAAACCAUCUGGCUAGAGUCCGGAAGAGGAGAGUGGAAUUCCUGGUGUAGCGGUGAAAUGCGUAGAGAUCGGCAGGAACACCCAGGGGGAAACCAGCCGGCUGGGGACGUGCUGACGCUCAGGGGCGAAAGCGUGGGGAGCGAACCGG
Molecule: ribosomal RNA, 253 nt
Filed under: uncultured bacterium
Lineage: Bacteria
Description: partial 16S ribosomal RNA
Rfam family: Bacterial small subunit ribosomal RNA
Source: RNAcentral